UACGGGGGGGGCAAGCGUUGUUCGGAAUUACUGGGCGUAAAGGGUUCGUAGGUGGUCUGCUAAGUCAUACGUGAAAUCCCUCAGCUUAACUGGGGAACUGCGUCUGAUACUGGCGGACUUGAGGACAGGAGAGGAACGCGGAAUUCCAGGUGUAGCGGUGAAAUGCGUAGAUAUCUGGAGGAACACCGGUGGCGAAGGCGGCGUUCUGGACUGUUUCUGACACUGAGGAACGAAAGCCAGGGGAGCAAACGGG
Molecule: ribosomal RNA, 253 nt
Filed under: uncultured bacterium
Lineage: Bacteria
Description: partial 16S ribosomal RNA
Rfam family: Bacterial small subunit ribosomal RNA
Source: RNAcentral